Molecule: ribosomal RNA, 929 nt
Filed under: uncultured bacterium
Lineage: Bacteria
Description: bacterial SSU rRNA
Rfam family: Bacterial small subunit ribosomal RNA
Source: RNAcentral
AGAGUUCGAUCCUGGCUCAGAAUGAACGUUGUCGGCGUGGAUUAGGCAUGCAAGUCGAGCGAGAAUCCUGCGAUUGAUCCUUCGGGUGAAGUCACAGGAGGACAGCGGCAAACGGGGUAGUUAGGCGCAGGUUACGUACCCUCUGGUCGGGGAUAGCCAUGGGAAACCGUGGGUAAUACUCGAUGAUCCGCCGCGUUGUAGUGACGUGGCGGCAAAGGUGAGAUUCCGCCGGAGGAGCGGUCUGCGUGGUAUUAGCUUGUUGGUGAGGUAAUGGCUCACCAAGGCGAAGAUGCCUAGGGGGUGUGAGAGCAUGGCCCCCACCACUGGGACUGAGACACUGCCCAGACACCUACGGGUGGCUGCAGUCGAGAAUCUUUGGCAAUGCACGCAAGUGUGACCAAGCGACGCCGAGUGCUGGAUGAAGGCCUUCGGGUUGUAAACAGCUGUCAGAGGGGAUGAAAUUGUUGGGGGCUAUCCCCCUUCAUUGACAAAGCCUCAGAGGAAGCGCGGGCUAAGUUCGUGCCAGCAGCCGCGGUAAUACGAACUGCGCGAACGUUAUUCGGAAUCACUGGGCUUAAAGGGUGCGUAGGCGGCCUGUUAAGUAGGGUGUGAAAUUUGUCGGCUCAACCGGCAAACUGCAUUCUAAACUGGCAGGCUUGAGUGAGUCAGGGGUGUGCGGAACUUCCGGUGGAGCGGUGAAAUGCGUUGAUAUCGGAAGGAACGCCGGUGGCGAAAGCGGCACACUGGGGCUUUUCUGACGCUGAGGCACGAAAGCUAGGGGAGCGAACAGGAUUAGAUACCCUGGUAGUCCUAGCUGUAAACGAUGAAUACUGGGUUGGGGGAGCAUGUCUCUCCCAGCCGUAGCGAAAGCGUUAAGUAUUCCGCCUGGGGAGUAUGGUCGCAAGGCUGAAACUCAAAGGAAUUGACGG